GUAACUUCGGGAGAAGGCACGCUGAUAUGUAGGUGAAGCGACUUGCUCGUGGAGCUGAAAUCAGUCGAAGAUACCAGCUGGCUGCAACUGUUUAUUAAAAACACAGCACUGUGCAAACACGAAAGUGGACGUAUACGGUGUGACGCCUGCCCGGUGCCGGAAGGUUAAUUGAUGGGGUUAGCGGUAACGCGAAGCUCUUGAUCGAAGCCCCGGUAAACGGCGGCCGUAACUAUAACGGUCCUAAGGUAGCGAAAUUCCUUGUCGGGUAAGUUCCGACCUGCACGAAUGGCGUAAUGAUGGCCAGGCUGUCUCCACCCGAGACUCAGUGAAAUUGAACUCGCUGUGAAGAUGCAGUGUACCCGCGGCAAGACGGAAAGACCCCGUGAACCUUUACUAUAGCUUGACACUGAACAUUGAGCCUUGAUGUGUAGGAUAGGUGGGAGGCUUUGAAGUGUGGACGCCAGUCUGCAUGGAGCCGACCUUGAAAUACCACCCUUUAAUGUUUGAUGUUCUAACGUUGGCCCGUAAUCCGGGUUGCGGACAGUGUCUGGUGGGUAGUUUGACUGGGGCGGUCUCCUCCUAAAGAGUAACGGAGGAGCACGAAGGUUGGCUAAUCCUGGUCGGACAUCAGGAGGUUAGUGCAAUGGCAUAAGCCAGCUUGACUGCGAGCGUGACGGCGCGAGCAGGUGCGAAAGCAGGUCAUAGUGAUCCGGUGGUUCUGAAUGGAAGGGCCAUCGCUCAACGGAUAAAAGGUACUCCGGGGAUAACAGGCUGAUACCGCCCAAGAGUUCAUAUCGACGGCGGUGUUUGGCACCUCGAUGUCGGCUCAUCACAUCCUGGGGCUGAAGUAGGUCCCAAGGGUAUGGCUGUUCGCCAUUUAAAGUGGUACGCGAGCUGGGUUUAGAACGUCGUGAGACAGUUCGGUCCCUAUCUGCCGUGGGCGCUGGAGAACUGAGGGGGGCUGCUCCUAGUACGAGAGGACCGGAGUGGACGCAUCACUGGUGUUCGGGUUGUCAUGCCAAUGGCACUGCCCGGUAGCUAAAUGCGGAAGAGAUAAGUGCUGAAAGCAUCUAAGCACGAAACUUGCCCCGAGAUGAGUUCUCCCUGACUCCUUGAGAGUCCUGAAGGAACGUUGAAGACGACGACGUUGAUAGGCCGGGUGUGUAAGCGCAGCGAUGCGUUGAGCUAACCGGUACUAAUGAACCGUGAGGCUUAACCUU
RNAcentral lists this ribosomal RNA (1220 nucleotides) under Escherichia coli UMEA 3342-1. RNAcentral's name for it is "bacterial LSU rRNA". It matches the Rfam family "Bacterial large subunit ribosomal RNA", at positions 1730 to 2925 of the family's 2925-position model. Lineage: Bacteria; Pseudomonadati; Pseudomonadota; Gammaproteobacteria; Enterobacterales; Enterobacteriaceae. The record is from RNAcentral.